This 494-nucleotide ribosomal RNA is filed under the name uncultured bacterium. RNAcentral's name for it is "partial 16S ribosomal RNA". It matches the Rfam family "Bacterial small subunit ribosomal RNA", at positions 28 to 507 of the family's 1533-position model. The record is from RNAcentral.
GACGAACACUGGCGGCGUGCUUAACACAUGCAAGUCGAACGGUGAAGCGCCUUCCUUUUUGGUGGGUGUGGAUGAGUGGCGAACGGGUGAGUAACACGUGAGUAACCUGCCCCCUUCUUCUGGAUAACCGCAUGAAAGUGUGGCUAAUACGGGAUAUUCUGGGUCUGUCGCAUGAUGGGUCUGUGAAAGAUAUUGUUUCGGUGGGGGAUGGGCUCGCGGCCUAUCAGCUUGUUGGUGGGGUGAUGGCCUACCAAGGCGGUGACGGGUAGCCGGCCUGGGAGGGUGGACGGUCACACUGGGACUGAGACACGGCCCAGACUCCUACGGGAGGCAGCAGUGGGGAAUAUUGCACAAUGGGCGCAAGCCUGAUGCAGCGACGCCGCGUGAGGGAUGGAGGCCUUCGGGUUGUGAACCUCUUUCGCCAGUGAAGCAGGCCUGCCUCGUUUGUGGGUGGGUUGACGGUAGCUGGAUAAGAAGCGCCGGCUAACUACGUG